Molecule: long non-coding RNA, 1463 nt
Organism: Gallus gallus (chicken)
Lineage: Eukaryota; Metazoa; Chordata; Aves; Galliformes; Phasianidae
Source: Ensembl
UCAUCUCCUGGUUAUAAUGAGCACACAAGGAGCAGCUGUGAUAGUGCAGUGAUGACCUCCGAGCAGAGCAGUACCUCCCUGCGAUGCUGCAGCCCCUGCCCUUGAGCAGAUGUCCACACAGCUCAUGGCAUUGCCUCGGCAUUCAAUCAGCUUGCCAGAAUUGCAAAGCAAAGGCCUCAGAUAUCUCGUUCCAGAGCAAUCCCUUUUGGGAGAAAAAGGAUCAUGGUGUACUCCUACUCCCUAGGUCUCCACAGUCUGUGAGAGACUAGCUCAGCUACCAAUUUUUUAGCCACAAAGACUCUGCUGCCAGCCUGGGUACUGUAAGUGCAUAUAUCGCAAGACAGUACUGCAACACGCUCACUGGAGAGCUCUGCAUCUGCAGCCGCCUGGAUCUGCCUCCCCACCUGCACCAGCUCUCAGAGAGCAGCUGGCUGUCCCUGCUCUCUGGGGUGAAAGCAACUCCUUGACCAUAAAGUGGAAAGAACACAAAAUUUAUCAAGAGGCUGAGGCUUCCUUCCAAACACGUUGCCUUUGCUGCUUUCCAGUGUCCCUUCCCCCUUAAGGGCUCUCUGUGCUCAUUGAUAGCUACUUACCAACUUCCUUGGCCUCCAACUGCUCCCAGCACAGCCCUAGAUAAGAAGCAGCUCAUCUGGAUUUUGGCUGUGGUUUAUGAAUUGCCAGAGCAGGUAUCCCUCCAGGGUCUCCUCACCUUCCCAUCUAAAUUAAGCUUAACUGCACUUCAAGCCUCUCCCCUGGGAUUCUGAUCUACUUCGCCCUCAGUCUUUGUCUCUUUACAAUGCCUGCCAAUAUCUUUGGGCAUAUCCUCAUGUUUUGAGCAGCCCUGGCUCUGGGCCACACUGCUGGCUGGCCAGGCAAACCUUGCAGCAAAAUGGCUACUUAUCCAUGUGGGUCAUAACGAGGAGCCCUGUCUCACCCAGACCCAUUUCCUAUCUUUUUUGACUUCCUGUCUGCCACCUCAUCACUGGAAGAGGACAGAGCCUGGCAAAAGGCAUGGCUAUAGGGAGCUGAGACCAGCUUAGGUACCUGCGUUUGGGCUGCUUAUCUCAUUGCUUCAGCUUGCCUUCCCUUGUCCUCACUCUCCCCUCCAAGUCCUUUGGUUCUGCAGAAACCAGUGGGGAAUAAAUGACAAAGGGCUGCUGGUGGCUUGAGCAGGCUGGCUCUGAUCAGUCAUCCCCAAUAACACUAGGUGCCCCAAAAGUCCGUGUUAUGAAGCUAACGGGAGUCAAGCUCACAGCAAACAUAAAAAGGGGUACUCAUCAUGCAACAGGUUGUUCAGCAGUGAGGGCCCUUUAAAAAGGAUAUUGUGAGUGCCAUCAGACAGAAAGGCUUUGGGGGAAACUGGAAAGGGGUAUGACAGAGAGAAGACAUCUGUCUUAGGAUGACUCUUGGGUGAAGAUGGUGUGGAUACAAGUAAGGGGAAAUGUCUCAUCCAUGUUUUGCUC